RNAcentral lists this ribosomal RNA (433 nucleotides) under uncultured bacterium. Its description in RNAcentral is "partial 16S ribosomal RNA". It matches the Rfam family "Bacterial small subunit ribosomal RNA", at positions 29 to 507 of the family's 1533-position model. The record is from RNAcentral.
AACGAACGCUGGCGGCAUGCCUAACACAUGCAAGUCGAACGAGACCUUCGGGUCUAGUGGCGCACGGGGGCGUAACGCGUGGGAACCUGCACUUAGGUUCGGAAUAACUCCCCGAAAGGGGUGCUAAUACCGGAUAAUGUCUUAGGACCAAAGAUUUAUCGCAUUUGGAUGGGCCCGCGUUGGAUUAGCUAGUUGGUAGGGUAAAAGCCUACCAAGGCGACGAUCCAUAGCUGGUUUGAGAGGAUGAUCAGCCACACUGGGGCUGAGACACGGCCCAGACUCCUACGGGAGGCAGCAGUGGGUAAUAUUGGACAAUGGGCGAAAGCCUGAUCCAGCAAUGCCGCGUGAGUGAUGAAGGCCGUAGGGUUGUAAAGCUCUUUUACCCGGGAUGAUAAUGACAGUACCGGGUGAAUAAGCUCCGGCUAACUCCGUG